GACAGAGGGUGCAAGCGUUGUUCGGAAUCAUUGGGCGUAAAGGGCGCGUAGGCGGCUUUGUAAGUCGAAUGUGAAAUCCCCUGGCUCAACCAGGGAAGUGCAUCCGAAACUGCAUUGCUUGAGUGUCAGAGAGGGUAGGGGAAUUCCCAGUGUAGAGGUGAAAUUCGUAGAUAUUGGGAGGAACACCGGUGGCGAAGGCGCCUACCUGGCUGACUACUGACGCUGAGGCGCGAAAGCGUGGGGAGCAAACAGG
RNAcentral lists this ribosomal RNA (253 nucleotides) under uncultured bacterium. Its description in RNAcentral is "partial 16S ribosomal RNA". It matches the Rfam family "Bacterial small subunit ribosomal RNA", at positions 524 to 776 of the family's 1533-position model. The record is from RNAcentral.